This 301-nucleotide ribosomal RNA is filed under the name uncultured bacterium. Its description in RNAcentral is "partial 16S ribosomal RNA". It matches the Rfam family "Bacterial small subunit ribosomal RNA", at positions 509 to 807 of the family's 1533-position model. The record is from RNAcentral.
CAGCCGCCACGGUAAAACGGAGGGGGCUAGCGUUGUUCGGAAUUACUGGGCGUAAAGCGCACGUAGGCGGCUUGGUAAGUUAGAGGUGAAAGCCCGGAGCUCAACUCCGGAAUUGCCUUUAAGACUGCCGAGCUAGUAGGUGAGAGAGGUAAGUGGAAUUCCGAGUGUAGAGGUGAAGUUCGUAGAUAUUCGGAAGAACACCAGUGGCGAAGGCGGCUCACUGGACGACUGUUGACGCUGAGGUGCGAAAGCGUGGGGAGCAAACAGGAUUAGAUACCCGAGUAGUCCUUGUCUCUUAUAC